Molecule: ribosomal RNA, 397 nt
Filed under: uncultured bacterium
Lineage: Bacteria
Description: partial 16S ribosomal RNA
Rfam family: Bacterial small subunit ribosomal RNA
Source: RNAcentral
AUACGUAGGGGGCGAGCGUUGUCCGGAAUGAUUGGGCGUAAAGGGCGCGUAGGCGGCGCGGUAAGUCUGGAGUGAAAGUCCUGCUUUCAAGAUGGGAAUUGCUUUGGAUACUGCCGCGCUUGAGUGCAGGAGAGGUUAUCGGAAUUCCCGGUGUAGCGGUGAAAUGCGUAGAGAUCGGGAGGAACACCAGUGGCGAAGGCGGGUAACUGGACUGCAACUGACGCUGAGGCGCGAAAGUGUGGGGAGCAAACAGGAUUAGAUACCCUGGUAGUCCACACUGUAAACGAUGAAUGCUAGGUGUAAGAGGUAUCGACCCCUUUUGUGCCGGAGUCAACACAAUAAGCAUUCCGCCUGGGGAGUACGGCCGCAAGGUUGAAACUCAAAUGAAUUGACGGGG